AAGGACAGACGAGCAUGUUGAUGGCUUGGUUUUCAUAUUCAUUUGGCUAGGUUUUGAAAGCCAUUGGAGUAGACCCCAUCAAGGGGUUUAUAGAUUUUCAGGUGGUGGAAAAUGCAAAAAUCUUGGCAAAAACGGUGGCAGCCAUGAUAUGAUUGGAUAUGAGUGAAUAUAUGGAGAGACAAAGAAAGUAGUUGGCAAGAUUAAAGUGGAAGGUU
This is a long non-coding RNA of Magnolia sinica, 215 nucleotides long. RefSeq lists it as uncharacterized. The transcript is spliced from 3 exons. Lineage: Eukaryota; Viridiplantae; Streptophyta; Magnoliopsida; Magnoliales; Magnoliaceae. The record is from RefSeq and is a predicted model, not a curated record.